Molecule: unclassified non-coding RNA, 504 nt
Filed under: Hevea brasiliensis (rubber tree)
Lineage: Eukaryota; Viridiplantae; Streptophyta; Magnoliopsida; Malpighiales; Euphorbiaceae
Source: RNAcentral
AAAGAGCCUCAGGUGCCUGGAACCUCUCUGUGCCAACUUUAAGUACCCUCCCAUCUGGAAGAGUAUAAUUCUUAACAAGAAUUGUCGUUUCAAGCCCCAACUGAUACUCUCUCUUGUAAUCAUAACUAAUGUAGCAGAGCUUUUCUUUAAUAUCCCUGACAGUCUCAAAAUCGGCACUUCUAUUCAUUGCAUACCCUCUCCGAAGUAGCAGAUCAACCAUAUAAGACGUUAUAUGCCGUCCAGCUACAUUCAUUCUUUUCGUGAGGUGAGGAAAUGAGUAUCCAUCUACAACAGGAACAACAUGUGUAACUCCAUCACCUGAGUCGAUGACAAGCCCAGUCAACAAACCUUGAGCAUACAAUGUUAGAACGGCUUGAAUUUGGAUGAAGACACCAGCAAAGUUGUACUUCUCGAACAUGGUUUCUACCAUCAUUUCACGAUUUUUAGAUGGAUUGAGAGGUGGAUCUGUCAGGAGAAUUUUGCAUUCUGUUGGAUCUAUCUUCA